GUGCCAGCCGCCGCGGUAAUACCGGCAGCACGAGUGAUGGCCGCUAUUAUUGGGCCUAAAGCGUCCGUAGCCGGCCGGGCAAGUCCGUCGGGAAAUCCACUCGCUUAACGGGUGGGCGUCCGGCGGAAACUGCUCGGCUUGGGACCGGAGGACCCGAGGGGUACGUCCGGGGUAGGAGUGAAAUCCCGUAAUCCCGAACGGACCACCGAUGGCGAAAGCAUCUCGAGAAAACGGAUCCGACAGUGAGGGACGAAAGCUAGGGUCUCGAACCGGAUUAGAAACCCCAGUAGUCC
Molecule: ribosomal RNA, 293 nt
Filed under: uncultured bacterium
Lineage: Bacteria
Description: partial 16S ribosomal RNA
Rfam family: Archaeal small subunit ribosomal RNA
Source: RNAcentral